This is a long non-coding RNA of Gavialis gangeticus (Gharial), 2387 nucleotides long. RefSeq lists it as uncharacterized. The record is from RefSeq and is a predicted model, not a curated record. The transcript is spliced from 4 exons. NCBI's taxonomy places the organism in Eukaryota, Metazoa, Chordata, Crocodylia, Gavialidae.
UUUUCCAAAAGGAAUAACAGUGACUUAGUCCUGAUUCUAUCAAGUGUAUUACCAUUGUCCCUAAUGGAAGUGAAGACAGUUUAGUUCCGAACUCUUUUGAAAAUCCUUCACUUUUUUAUUCUUGUUUUUAGUGGAACCCUUUAGCGGUAAAUCUUUGGCUGAGGUAACAGGGGAGGAUGCAAAGGCUACUGUCCCUCUGCCAGUCUCCAGGAAGUCUCCACAACAGGUCUCUCCUGAUUGAGCAAACUGGAUGCGUCUCUAUAUGCUGUGCAUAUAGAAAAGUGAUCUAACAGUGGGGGUAGCACUGCAAGCUUACCCCUCACCAUCCUGCCACUCACUAAAGGUCUCCAGCAUUGUUUUGGUUGGUUUGGUAGAAAGGAAAUGGUCACAUCUGCACAGCUGGGCCCCAUAGCAGAAAAAAAAAUCUGAAAAAUGUUGAAGCAAAUAAGGGGCUUGACCUGAGAGUUAAACUCUAGUAUUUCAGUUCUGUUUCCCACAAGUGACAAGAUUUUUUGAGAUUUAUCUACACUGAGUCAGAUACCAAAACCAGAACAGAGAUUAGGAAAUUACGGAGGUUGGGAUUUUUAAUUUGUAGACAAAAGACUAUCAUUAAAGAGCAAUUGUUUUUUCAUGAUUCAUCACAAGAAUGUCAGGAAACUAGAAGUUAAGGUAACCAUUUUAGUCCCCAUCUUGUAAUGCAUUCUCCUGGCACAAACCCCUGCAUUUGCAUGCUAUUGUUUUGUGUAGGAAGUGCAGAAAUUAGACCACUUAUAUAUGCAUCUAAACGCCAUGGCUGCUGAGUACUGUUCUGUUCUCAGUUAAACUGAUACAUAUUUAAGGAGAUUUAUUUAAGGGACGUUGUGUUGCUGAGCCCCCACUAAGCUACUUUGCUUCACAGGUGAAUAAACCAAGACAUGGAACAGCUAAAUGAUUUAUCCAGUGUCACACAGGUAGCCAAUAACAGUGAAUCAGGUACCUGAAUGGAAAUUGCUGGAAGUGCUCAGCUGCCUGGUGUAAAACCGUCCAUUUUUAGGUGGUCAAAUAUGAAUUUAGAGGAGCAAAUUUACACACCCAUUUUCACAAACCUCCACUGUGGUAGUGAAGCUAGUUUCCUGAUAGAACUACAAUAAAUAGAGGAAUUCUUUCUGUUAUAUUUCCUCUUGUAUCCUACGUGUUCAAUGAGUAGAAGGAACAAGAUACUUUUUACAAAUGGAUAGGCAUUACUUUUUGUACUGUGUAUAUAAAUGAAAGUGCAAAUUUUAUGUAACUUCAAAAAGGCCAAGUCAAAUAUUUCUAAAUUUGUUGGAAAAAUAUUAGACCCAUUUCCCUGUAAUGGGGUUUUGUCAAUCAACUUGUAAUGUUAUGAUUCUAUAAACCCUUUAGAACAGAAGAUUACUAUUUUAUAAUAAAACAGAAUGGGGAGUAGUUAUAGGACUUGCUAACAAAAUCAUAAGCCUAUCACUGCUCUGCUACAAUGAAGCACUGGAAUCCAUCAUUUUAAAUUGGAGUACCAUGCUUCAAAACUUGUAUCUAGCUGCAUAACACCACUAGGGAGAAAUAAAAUACAGAUUAGCUUUGCAAAGGAGAUUUAUUAGAAUGUGUGAGUGAAUCAUGUAAAAAAAAUAGGUUCCCAGAAGAUCUGAGGAACUUAGAUUGCCUGCUAAAUAUCUAGGAUUUUUCUUCUCUUUUUCUUAAUAAACUGGAAUACAUUAGUCAGUUCUUUAUUAAUCAAUUAUUAAUAUUCUGAAGUUAGUGGCACUAGCUGUAUCUAAGUCAGAGAUAAUAAAUCAAACUUAAUAAUGUGACAUGACUUUAAAAAACAAUCUCUAUGUCUCAGUAGUGUAAUCAGGGUGAGGUGAGCAGGUCACCAGCCCAAGGCACUGCCUAUAAGGGGGCACCAGAACCUCUCCCCACCAAGGACUUUUAGCACAGCAAGGGGAGUCCUGGGCAUAGAAGCAGGGCAGUGCACCCCUGCACCCAGCAGUGUAUCUGGGGAGCAACUGGGUUAAGUGGGAUGGUGUGCCCCCCAGUCAGGCAGACCUGCACCCAAUACAUCUGUAUCUGGGAUUGCAGGCAGGCAGUAUUCCAGCCUGCAAGGGAUCCUGCUUGGGGCUGCCAGGAGACACAGGGGAAGUGCCAGCCAUUUCCUGGUGUGAGGACUGAGCUGGGGCUGGGCUUGUCUUCUGCGCCUCUGUGGGCUGCAGGCAGGAGUGGGGCAGGUGGGCAGGUAGCAGCGGCACUGGGAGGGUUGCCUACAGGGAGGCUAAGGCACAUUUUGGGAUGGCUUUAGUCCCCCAAACCCUCCUUAGCACCACCCCUGUGCAUGUGCAUGGCCUUAAGUGGCCAGGAACACAGCCAGGCAGCCAGCUCCAUGCAGGUAAGGCUAA